RNAcentral lists this ribosomal RNA (200 nucleotides) under uncultured prokaryote. Its description in RNAcentral is "partial 16S ribosomal RNA". It matches the Rfam family "Bacterial small subunit ribosomal RNA", at positions 1182 to 1382 of the family's 1533-position model. The record is from RNAcentral.
ACGUCAAGUCAUCAUGGUUCUUACGGGUCGGGCUACAAACGUACUACAAUGGCGAUAACAGUGGGUCGCGAUGCCGCAAGGCAAAGCCAAUCCUCAAAUAUCGCCCCAGUUCAGAUUGUCCUCUGCAACUCGAGGGCAUGAAGUCGGAAUCGCUAGUAAUCGCUGAUCAGAAUGCAGCGGUGAAUACGUUCCCGGGUCUU